UCUUUUGCUACCAUGAGGACUGCCCCACGCAGAAGUGCUUCUGAGAUAACAGCCUCAAGAGCAGCAGGUUUUGGACAAGGGUCAUGAUUAUCUUUUAUCUGACAGCACCAAGCAGAGUACAGAACACACAGUAGGCUCCCUUCAUUGAAAUAAAGAAGACAGGGACCAUUUUUGAGAAAAAGGAGAAGAUGGCAAGGAAAAACUCUCUCUUUCCCCUAGGAGCUCUGAAGAAGAAAGGGCUUGGAGAGAGGAAGGUAGGUAGUCCUACGUGCAUGUGUCAGACUCUGAAUAGAGAGCCACAGAGCCUCGCGGGAGGCUCGGGUAGCCCACAGGCUGUGUGGUAGAUGGCCUGGCACAGGAGCCCUUUGGAGGACUUAAGAGGGACUCAGAGUGAUCUGCAGAAGCAGGGAGAGUCGAGAGGAGGCCAGUCAACAGGGAGAGGCCCCUGGACAGGAUCAAGCUAUGAAACAUACCACAAAUUCAUCAGCUGCAGAACGCCCCAAGGAAGCAGCCAGCUAAACUAGAUCUUAAUGGACACCAGUCAGCAUUCACUCAAGGAGAAUCAUGGGGAGACGCCUUCUUCUAGAAGCUAUGAAGACCUUUCUCCUUUUCUCUGACACCAUCUUCAGAGAAGACAGAGGUGUAGGGAGGAAUCUGAAUAAUAACUAAAAGAGAUAAUUUACCCCGCAGGACUAAGUUUUGAACCAGCCUACAAAUACAACACCUGUACUUUUUCGGCACAGCUCAGUGUAGUAUGAGUAGUCCUGUGACUCUGAUAUAUAUGAAGUCAUUCAAUAGCUAAAGCUAAGAAGACAAGAAAGUAUGGGGUGUAUAUGAUGUGGUUGUAGGAAGUGAAUGACUUUCAGACAAUGUUCAAAUUCUCUGAAGAAUUUGUAGUCACAAAAUUCACUUUAAUGCAACAGCAUUGACCUUGAGCAAAAUUCUUCCUAAACAUCUAGCUCAAAACAGCAUUCACUGAGCACUUGUGCUAGCUACUGCAGACACUCUAUUAAAUAAAACUCGCUUGCAAGGCACUUACACAUCAGCACCAUCUUCCCUUCCAAUGCCAGAGUCUACCUAUGGAAAUCUGCUUUCAAGAAGCUUCCAGUGUUUGUCAUGUAUACCUUAGUGUAAAUUAAGUGAAUGUGUUAUCUCACCAUAAUUUGUGAUUUGUUUGUUUGUUGUAGUGGUUGUUGUUUACUGUCAUUUCCGACUAUAAAAGUAAAGCUUUGAUCUCUGCUGGAGUGACUUUCAGGCAUUAGUAAACACCUAGGGAGCUUUAUACGUUUUCAUAUGAAGAGGUCUUCCUCCUUGAAAUCCAUUCAACAAAUAUUGAGUAAGUACUGGCUCUGUUCCAGACCCAGAAUUAAAUGCUGGAAAGACACAGUUUCUUUUCUAACAUCUCCACUUAUAAGUCCCAUAAGCAUCUCAAAUUGAAUAUAUCUUAAGAAGAGUAUGUGAUUCCCACCCACCCGAACCUGAUCGUCCACAGUUUUUUCUGUCACAGUAAAUAGUAGAACCAUGUACGCAAUGUGCUCAAAUUAGAAACCCUGGCAUAAUCCAAUUGCUCCUGUUUCCUGACGCUGUCCCUGAGAAACACACUCUAACGCAUGGACACGGACACACAUCCACACAUGUGCCGUAAAAUUAACUUAACAGGAGGCCAUUAGAUGAGGUGGUUCUAACGCUGUGGCAGCCAACAUAAGCAACCCAAAGCCUAAGCCUAUAGAUGCCCCAAGGUUAUGAAAUGGAAACCUAAGGACAACCAGUCACAAACAGCCGACCGGGCUUUAAGCUAUAGCGAAUCAAUGAUCUCCUUGCUUUGCUUCCACCUUCCAUAAAAAGCCUCUCCAAGAAAUCCUGUCAGUGGAGCGCUCCUAAACACUUCCAGUUUGGCGCUGCCUGAUUGAAAUCGAUUUUGGCUCAGACUCUUAAAACUUGUAAUAUGCCUCAGUUUACCUUUUAACUGUACACACACAUACGUGUCCAUGGAAUCAUUCUCUUGGUCCUGCCUCCAAAUCAGAUCUUGAAUCUGCAGGGGAAGAAAAAUAAUUUUACCUCUACCCUUAUGACUUCUUGCUGAAAUGCCCUGUAAAGAAAGAUUAACAACAGGGGACCAGCCACGUGGCCCAGUGAUUAAAAUUCAAUGCACUUCCACCAAACUCAUAUCAUUUAGAUGGCCUGAGUUCACUGGUUCAGAUCCUAGGUGUGGACCUACCCCACUUGUCAGCGAUGCUGUGGAAGAGUCCCACAUAUAAAGAAGAGGAAGAUUGGCACAGAGGUUAGCUCAGGGCUAAUCUUCUUCAAGUAAAAAAAGAGGCAGAUUAGCAAUGGAUGUUAGCUCAGGGUGAAUCUUCCUCACCAAAAAAAAAUUACCAACAGACAAAGUUUAUUAUAAUAUUAUAUAUGAUAUAUAUUAUAGUAUAUAUAAUAAAUAUUAUAAUAAACAAGUUUAACAUGUAUAGAAGGGAGAUAUCAAGGAAAAAUGAGUAAACUCCCCAAGAUGACCCAAGCCACCACCUUAAAUACCAUCUUCAGCUAAAGACAAAAGAAAGAAAGAUGUUGAGGUUGGGGGGGUGGUGGCAAAGACACGGGAGGUUACCAGGAAAAGCACAGUAAACAAGGGUAUGGUUGUCAUGCAAGUUUAAGCAGUCACCUUCUCCAUUCAUAAGAGUUUCUUGUGAUUGAGAGUCAUCCUUCUCUUCCUGGUACAGAGAGGGAGACAGCCUUGUGAAUGGAGAUUUCCUGUGUUGACGUAAAUUGCCCUUAGAGAAGGAUAACUUCUACUUGGUUUUCAGAACUUCUCCUGUGUCUGCUGUUUCUCAAAAAUAAUCAGCUCAAGAUAAUCUUUAUGCCAAAGAGGUGUAUUUGGGGUGGCAUAUUCUAUUAGCCUUCCCGUCUGCCCUCUUCUCUCCAUGCCCAUUGCCUCUGCCCUCUCUCAAGUGGACACUCAGAUCUGAAGUCUUCUGCUCUCUUGCUCCCCGCUCUCUCUCGCCUCUCAGCUCUCAGAUCUCAGUCAGAUCGCCUCACUCUCCUGCUUCAACUCUUAUUGGCUUCCCAGGAUACCUGGUGUAAUAUCCCAACUCCGUCCCCAUCCUCCAAGGCUCUGUGUCAUCUACUCUGCUUCUCUCCCCGUGGGAUCUACCCUCCCCACCUCCCCAGCCUCACUUCUAAUCUCUUUCCCCACCCAAUACGUGCUCCACUCAUGAGAGUCUCAGGCAGUUCUCAGAAUGGACCACAUUCUUUCUACCUCUGGUCCUUUGCACUUGCUGUUCCUUCUGCUUAGAAUUUGCUCUGCCUAUCCAAUGACUGCUCCUUCCUCUCCUACAGGUCUCAGUUUAAAUAUCAUCUCCUCACAAACACCUUCCCUGAUCAGCCUAGCUGAAGUUACACCUCAAUUUUAACUGUCACAGCAUUCUGUUUAUUUUCUUUAAAGCAAAACCAUGGGUUGUGAAUAGCUGAUUUAUUUAUUGGCAGCAUAACAUAAUAGUUAUGACUCUGAAGGCAGAUUUUCUGGAUUCAGAUUCUGGCUCUGCCACCCUCAAGCUGUGUGGCCUUGGAAAAGUUACUUAACCUCUCUGUGCCUCCAUUCCCUUAUCUCUAAAAUGUAAAAAAUGAUACUACCUGCUUCACAGAGUUGUUAGAGAAUUAAAAGACUCAAUAAACAUGAAGCACUUCAAAUAGUGAUUGUCUGCAAGAAGCAUAAAUAUGUCUAUUUGUUAAAUAACUAUAAAAAUAAAAUAUGAUGAUGUCAAGAAUCCUGUCUUUCUCUAUUUAGCACUAUCUCGCCAGAGCUUAGCCUCAUGCCUAGCACAAAGAAGAUAGUCCAUAAAUAGUCAUUAAAUACAUAAACGAAUAAAAGAAUGACCAAAUGACAUGACUGUCCUCCAAGUAUUUGUCGUAAAGCCCAACAGGUUGAAAACUUUAAUGUCCAAAGUAAUCACCUGGGGAUCUUGUUAAACUGUAGACUCUCACUCAGCUGGUCCGGGGAGAAGCUGGAGAGUCUGCAUUUCCAACAAGCGCCAGGUGUUGCUGAUGCUGCUGGUCCAUAGUCCACACUUUGACUAUCUAGCUGAUUGCCGACUGACCUAGAUCUAGAAAUCAGCUCCUGGAAAGUGUCUGCUGGAAACAGCCUUCCCAUUGCAACACAUUUAUCUCUUAUAGAUAGUCACUUCCUCAUAAGGCCAUCCCAGAGUUAGAACCUUUUGGAAGUAUUGAUGGGGUCUCAGUGGACACUGCCCAUGAUCUCACUCAGGUGGUGUCACCUGAGUCAAUAAUCAACCUACCGUUACUUCUGACCACCUGGGAAGUUCUGGAAAAGGCCUCCUUAUGUAUUUCCCCUUUAUCAUCAAUGGGCCAUCUAUAUAUUUCAUCUGAAAAGAAUCUGUUCUUUUUAGGGCUCUCUUUGGGGCCUUAAAAGGUGUAGUAAAUGUGUUUCCUUUACACCAGCAUUUUCAGUAAUUUAUUCCAGAUACUCGUCUUGUAUCAUUUAACUCUUAAAUGCUUUCAGAUUUCAAAUAUGCUUUGUAUCAGCGCAUACAAACUAUGCAUGUUGGCACUGGUAUUUUAAGAACAAGAAGGUUAAGGUUUCAAAAGCAACACCCUGAUUUCUUGGACAUGAUGAAAGUGUGAUUUUUUUUUUCCCAGGGCAGAGGGUGUGUGUGGCUGGAAUUACUCAGAACUGCUCACUGGUUGCCUCUCAAGGAUUGCUUAAAUUUAAAAUACUGCCG
Molecule: long non-coding RNA, 4730 nt
Organism: Equus caballus (horse)
Lineage: Eukaryota; Metazoa; Chordata; Mammalia; Perissodactyla; Equidae
Source: Ensembl